CUACGGGUGGCUGCAGGCGAGAAAACUUUGCAAUGUGCGAAAGCACGACAAGGUUAAUCCGAGUGGUUUGUGCUAAACGAACCUUCUGACAGUCCUAGAAACACUGUUGAAUAAGGGGUGGGCAAGUUCUGGUGUCAGCCGCCGCGGUAAAACCAGCACCUCAAGUGGUCAGGAUGAUUAUUGGGCCUAAAGCAUCCGUAGCCGGCUCUGUAAGUUUUCGGUUAAAUCUGUACGCUCAACGUACAGGCUGCCGGGAAUACUGCAGCGCUAGGGAGUGGGAGAGGUAGACGGUACUCGGUAGGAAGGGGUAAAAUCCUUUGAUCUAUUGAUGACCACCUGUGGCGAAGGCGGUCUACCAGAACACGUCCGACGGUGAGGGAUGAAAGCUGGGGGAGCAAACCGGAUUAGAUACCCCAGUAGUC
RNAcentral lists this ribosomal RNA (422 nucleotides) under uncultured archaeon. RNAcentral's name for it is "partial 16S ribosomal RNA". It matches the Rfam family "Archaeal small subunit ribosomal RNA", at positions 323 to 746 of the family's 1478-position model. The record is from RNAcentral.